CCUCCCGAGCGCCGGGAUUAAAGGGGUGCGCCACCAAACCUUUAAUCCCAGCCUUUGAUCACCACUGCCAGUAAGAAUGAACACUUCUGACAUCAGUUCAUAAGACGGUGUUAGGCUGGAGGCAGGACGUUUUUGAGGAAAUGAAAACCAAGAUCCAGUAAAAGUGCGGGACUGGCAGGAGCCUGAGCUUUGGAGAGAGAAAUAAAGGCGUGGACACAGCUCUGGUUUCCUCGACUGCAACAGCCAAAUACGGCCCACUUGGCUACUUCCUAGAGCCUUGUGAGACCUGGCGGAGUCAGUGAGUGUGAAGGAGCAAGAGUCUGCGUGUAAUGCACAGGAAUGCAAGGGACGUCAAAGCAACUGGUCACCUAUAAUCCCAACAGCUUUCCCAGAAGGUCCAUGACAUAUAAAGGGGAAGAACACACUCGUUGUUGUUUAA
Peromyscus maniculatus bairdii (prairie deer mouse) is the source of this 439-nucleotide long non-coding RNA. RefSeq lists it as uncharacterized. The record is from RefSeq and is a predicted model, not a curated record. Lineage: Eukaryota; Metazoa; Chordata; Mammalia; Rodentia; Cricetidae.